Molecule: long non-coding RNA, 1837 nt
Filed under: Homo sapiens (human)
Lineage: Eukaryota; Metazoa; Chordata; Mammalia; Primates; Hominidae
Description: HSALNT0172475
Source: RNAcentral
GAAGCACUUAGAUCUCAGGGAUCCUGUGCAGUAUAUCUGGGCCUGCAGACCCUUGAGAAUAGGCAUGUAGUUUUUCACUUUUGAUGCCCCAGAGCCUAGCAUGGUGCUUGGCAAAUAGUGCAAACUCAACAUUCUUUAAAGACCUGAACUCUGGCCUAUCAUAGAGUGAAAAGAAGCUUGAGGAAAUUUACCAACGUCUUGACCAGGUUUCCGUAGACAAUGCCUCUUUCCGUUCCUCUCUGUUAGAGAUCUCAGUGGUGGAAGCACCAUCAUCCCAAGGAGACUUAGGAAAAAGACAAGGCCCUGCUCUGAGGAGUGAAGACACAAUCCAGCAGGCAGGAGGGAUGGCUAAGUUCAAAGUCUUGAGAAGUGCCCCUCAUGGACACCCCAGGGUGCCCAUCUCCAGGUUACCACCAGGUGCUUCCAAGACCAAGAUAACCAGGCAAUCAUAGUAGAUGCAUCAAUGCACCCUUGCCCAAGGGCCUAGACAAGAGGUAUUGUUUAGCUUCGCAUGAAUUUUAUCACCUUGCCUAGAACCAGCCACCAUCUGCCAGGGCUCCUGACUUUUUCUGAAAUGAAUAGACACUAAAGCCUGCUGGGGAAUUUCAUGGAAAUCAAGAUGACUCAACCCAGAGUCCAUUUCAAGGCUAGGAUGCUAGAGGACGCCAACAAAGGAGUAGGGAAGUGAAACGGAUCAGCUCACAUCCAAGCCCUUGCAUGAUCAAUCCUGCAGUAGGAGUGCUGCUCAGUUGGGACUCAUGAGAGCCCGGAAGAGGAAAAAGCAGCUCUAAGCAUAGCAAAGAAGCUGUUAUGGAAAAGACCCAAAUGUUAAAAUGGUGGACAUAGUAAAGUGAUUGGUUCUGCUUAGGGGAAUCUAGAUCCCCACAUUUUGACCUCCACUGGAGUCUCAGAAGAACAAGUGCCAGGGGGGCUUGCCACAGAGGCCAAGGCAGUGAAUGUCAGGCACAUCACAGUCCCCAAGAUGGGGAGAAGACUGAGAUGCAGGGUAACAACUGCAAUCCAUUCAUGGGAGCCAUGUUUAUCUUAAAUCAUUGACAGUGAGAUAAGGAUCAUGUCAGCCUUCAUACCUUUGAUGAUGAUCCCAGGCUGCAACAGUGACACAUAGAACUGGAUUCAGUAACUAACUACAGAUUCCAUCAACCAGGACUAGUAAAGUGAAAGGCAGAAAUUGGGAGGAGGGGUUUCUUUCUUGCUUAUAAAACUUUAUUUGGUUGUGUUGAGUAUGUGCAUGUAUGUAUGAAAUCCCAUAAAGCAGUCUUCUUAGGAACAAGCCAACAUGCCACAAUGUAGGAGAUCUUUGGAGCACUGGCCUAAAUGGCAGAGAGCUCAAGGGACUCUGCUUUGUACAAGGCAUGAUUUGUACCACCACCACUAUCCCUGUUUCAGAGCACUGUUGAAUUGUUCCAAACCUGGAUUUCUAUGUCAGCUCCCUGUCUAUAGUACUUGACUGAUAAAUGCUAGUUUCUGAAAUCUGCUUUGGUUCUAUAAUUUAUUAGACAGCUUUUUCUUCCCAUUUUAUUACUUGUUUUUACUGUCAUUGGUAUAUUAUCUCUUACAGUGAAAACAUUCAUAGGCUGAUUGAAGAGAAGAUCUGAAAUUAUUAGGCAGCAAGCAUACAAAACCCUUGCUUUAUAAAGAUAAUAUCUUAAAGGCCUAAUGUCUAUGGUUCAAAGCAGCCUGGAGAUGUUGGCUAAAUCUUCCAUCAUAGAGUCCUCAUGGGAUCUGGAAGCUCUGAUUUAUCUUCCUUCAGGCCCUAUAAGUUAGCUUUCCACAUCUGUAGGUUCCACAAUCAACCUUGGAUCAAAAACAUUUGAAA